This 556-nucleotide ribosomal RNA is filed under the name Blastocystis sp. subtype 4. RNAcentral describes it as "SSU rRNA". It matches the Rfam family "Eukaryotic small subunit ribosomal RNA", at positions 29 to 595 of the family's 1831-position model. The record is from RNAcentral. Lineage: Eukaryota; Bigyra; Opalinata; Blastocystidae.
AGCAGUGCUCGUCUCAAAGAUUAAGCCAUGCAUGUGUAAGUAUAAAUAUUUAACUUUGAAACUGCGAAUGGCUCAUUAUAUCAGUUAUAGUUUAUUUGAUGAAAUGUACUACUUGGAUAACCGUAGUAAUUCUAGAGCUAAUACAUGAUAAAAUCCUCGACUUUGAAGAGUGUUAUUUAUUAGAAUGAAACCAAUAGACUUCGGUCUGUUUGUGAGUAAUAAUAACUAAUCGUAUCGCAUGCUUAGGUAGCGAUAUGUCUUUCAAGUUUCUGCCCUAUCAGCUUUGGAUGGUAGUGUAUUGGACUACCAUGGCAGUAACGGGUAACGAAGAAUUUGGGUUCGAUUUCGGAGAGGGAGCCUGAGAGAUGGCUACCACAUCCAAGGAAGGCAGCAGGCGCGUAAAUUACCCAAUCCUGACAUAGGGAGGUAGUGACAAUAAAUCACAAUGCGGAACUAUUAGUUUUCGCAAUUGGAUUGAGAACAAUGUACAAAUGUUAUCGAUAAACAAUUGGAGGGCAAGUCUGGUGCCAGCAGCCGCGGUAAUUCCAGCUCCAGG